This 458-nucleotide ribosomal RNA is filed under the name uncultured bacterium. RNAcentral's name for it is "partial 16S ribosomal RNA". It matches the Rfam family "Bacterial small subunit ribosomal RNA", at positions 338 to 795 of the family's 1533-position model. The record is from RNAcentral.
CCUACGGGAGGCAGCAGUGAGGAAUAUUGGUCAAUGGGAGAGAUCCUGAACCAGCCAAGCCGCGUGAGGGAAGACGGCCCUAUGGGUUGUAAACCUCUUUUGUCGGAGAACAAAACCCGGGACGUGUCCCGGACUGCGUGUAUCCGAAGAAAAAGCAUCGGCUAACUCCGUGCCAGCAGCCGCGGUAAUACGGAGGAUGCGAGCGUUAUCCGGAUUUAUUGGGGUUAAAGGGUGCGUAGGCGGUCCGUUAAGUCCGCGGGAAAAUUGCGGGGCUCAACCCCGUCGAGCCGUUGAAACUGGCAGACUUGAGUUGGCGAGAAGUACGCGGAAUGCGCGGUGUAGCGGUGAAAUGCAUAGAUAUCGCGCAGAACUCCGAUUGCGAAGGCAGCGUACCGGCGCCAGACUGACGCUGAGGCACGAAAGCGUGGGGAUCGAACAGGAUUAGAUACCCAGUAGUC